GUGCCAGCAGCCGCGGUAAUACGAAGGGGGCUAGCGUUGCUCGGAAUUACUGGGCGUAAAGGGCGCGUAGGCGGACAUUUAAGUCAGGGGUGAAAUCCCAGAGCUCAACUCUGGAACUGCCUUUGAUACUGGAUGUCUUGAGUGUGAGAGAGGUAUGUGGAACUCCGAGUGUAGAGGUGAAAUUCGUAGAUAUUCGGAAGAACACCAGUGGCGAAGGCGACAUACUGGCUCAUUACUGACGCUGAGGCGCGAAAGCGUGGGGAGCAAACAGGAUUAGAAACCCCAGUAGUCC
RNAcentral lists this ribosomal RNA (292 nucleotides) under uncultured bacterium. Its description in RNAcentral is "partial 16S ribosomal RNA". It matches the Rfam family "Bacterial small subunit ribosomal RNA", at positions 505 to 796 of the family's 1533-position model. The record is from RNAcentral.